AGCGAACGCUGGCGGCAGGCUUAACACAUGCAAGUCGAGCGCCCCGCAAGGGGAGCGGCAGACGGGUGAGUAACACGUGGGAACGUGCCUUUUGGUUCGGAACAACCCAGGGAAACUUGGGCUAAUACCGGAUAAGCCCUUACGGGGAAAGAUUUAUCGCCAAAAGAUCGGCCCGCGUCUGAUUAGCUAGUUGGUGGGGUAAUGGCCCACCAAGGCUACGAUCAGUAGCUGGUCUGAGAGGAGAUCAGCCACAUUGGGACUGAGACACGGCCCAAACUCCUACGGGAGCAGCAGUGGGGAAUAUGGACAAUGGGGGCAACCCUGAUCCAGCCAUGCCGCGUGAGUGAU
This 348-nucleotide ribosomal RNA is filed under the name uncultured bacterium. RNAcentral's name for it is "bacterial SSU rRNA". It matches the Rfam family "Bacterial small subunit ribosomal RNA", at positions 29 to 409 of the family's 1533-position model. The record is from RNAcentral.